AGAUUGAACGCUGGCGGCAUGCCUUACACAUGCAAGUCGAACGGCAGCACGGGAGCAAUCCUGGUGGCGAGUGGCGAACGGGUGAGUAAUACAUCGGAACGUGCCCAAUCGUGGGGGAUAACGCAGCGAAAGCUGUGCUAAUACCGCAUAAGAUCUACGGAUGAAAGCAGGGGAUCGCAAGACCUUGCGCGAAUGGAGCGGCCGAUGGCAGAUUAGGUAGUUGGUGAGGUAAAGGCUCACCAAGCCUUCGAUCUGUAGCUGGUCUGAGAGGACGACCAGCCACACUGGGACUGAGACACGGCCCAGACUCCGUACGGGAGGCAGGCAGGUGGGGUAA
This 337-nucleotide ribosomal RNA is filed under the name uncultured soil bacterium. RNAcentral's name for it is "bacterial SSU rRNA". It matches the Rfam family "Bacterial small subunit ribosomal RNA", at positions 26 to 362 of the family's 1533-position model. The record is from RNAcentral.